RNAcentral lists this long non-coding RNA (560 nucleotides) under Androctonus crassicauda. The record is from RNAcentral. Lineage: Eukaryota; Metazoa; Arthropoda; Arachnida; Scorpiones; Buthidae.
AUAUUGCUAUGGUUACAGAUGGAAAAUAAGAAUUAAAAUACAAUAAAUGUAAACUAAUUAGCAUUAACAUUAUAUAAAGCUAAAAUGAUCAAUAAAACAGAAAUAUAUGUAGAAAAAUGUAAGGGAACCGUUGUUAGUCCAAAAUUACCGAAGGAUAUAACCAAGCUAUCACUAUGGAGUCAUUGGAAAUUAUCACUAGACAGAGAACGGAAAAGAUUAUAAAUGAAAAAUCAGCACAACAGUUCUCCCUGGCAUGGUUGUAUGCUAUUGACAAAAGUUUUAACCCAGAUCUUCAGUAAUUUUGGACUAACAACAUCCCCCUGCUAUUUUACUACAUAUAUUUGUUUUAUUGAUUAUUUUAGCUUUAUAUACGUUUACAAUAAGUACAAAACUAAUUAUUUUUUAAUUCUUAUUUUUCAUCUGUAACCAUAGCAAUGUUUUUGAAGUAUGUUAAAAACAUUCUAUUCUAUUUUGUAACCUGACAAUGGCUUAAUGCCAAAGACAUUAAGAAUGUUUAUUAAAUCCUAACUAAUUACAAGAAGUAUUUUUGUUUGAUAGCU